ACCGAAUCAUCCACUCUAGCCAUUAUAUUAUGUAUAUUGGGAAAAUCAGAGACCAAAGUAAGGAUUGGUUGAGUAUUAUUACCCAUAACCUGAGGACAAACUAUUUCAUCAGAGACAUUAUGCAAAGUCAUGUAAAAAGUGGUGCUUGAAUUCUCAAUGUGUUGUGGGGAUGUAACUACAAUCUGUUGUUCUACCUGAACCUCUUU
RNAcentral lists this long non-coding RNA (206 nucleotides) under Medicago truncatula (barrel medic). RNAcentral's name for it is "long non-coding RNA (MTRU_LNC000339)". The record is from RNAcentral. Lineage: Eukaryota; Viridiplantae; Streptophyta; Magnoliopsida; Fabales; Fabaceae.